RNAcentral lists this ribosomal RNA (464 nucleotides) under uncultured bacterium. Its description in RNAcentral is "partial 16S ribosomal RNA". It matches the Rfam family "Bacterial small subunit ribosomal RNA", at positions 338 to 795 of the family's 1533-position model. The record is from RNAcentral.
CCUACGGGGUGCAGCAGUAGGGAAUCUUCGUCAAUGGGCGCAAGCCUGAACGAGCAAUGCCGCGUGAACGAGGAAGGUCUUCGGAUCGUAAAGUUCUGUUGAAGGGGAAAAAGAGCGGAGAGAGGAAAUGGUCUCCGAUUGAUAUUACCCUUCGAGGAAGUCACGGCUAACUACGUGCCAGCAGCCGCGGUAAUACGUAGGUGGCGAGCGUUAGCCGGAAUGAUUGGGCGUACAGGGUGCGUAGGCGGCCUGCUAAGUCUGGAGUGAAAGGUACCGGCUCAACCGGUACAGGCUCUGGAAACUGGCGGGCUAGAGAGCAGGAGAGGGCGGUGGAACUCCAUGUGUAGCGGUAAAAUGCGUAGAUAUAUGGAAGAACACCAGUGGCGAAGGCGGCCGCCUGGCCUGUGACUGACGCUGAGGCACGAAAGCGUGGGGAGCAAAUAGGAUUAGAUACCCCAGUAGUC